UGUCAUGGCGAGUUUAGGAUAUUGGACUCAAGUUUAUAUGUUUUCAAAAUCUGAACUUAAAACUAUCGGUUGUCUUCACUAAUUGUGAGUUGAAACAAAGCUUAUCUUUAAGGUGAGUUAACUGAUAUUCAUGUGCCCUGGUUGCUUGCAACAGUACCUCCU
Molecule: long non-coding RNA, 162 nt
Organism: Thalassophryne amazonica
Lineage: Eukaryota; Metazoa; Chordata; Actinopteri; Batrachoidiformes; Batrachoididae
Exons: 5
Source: RefSeq, a predicted model, not a curated record